AUUAAAGGUAUAGUAACUCUCUACUAAUGGUUAAGGGUGUGGUAUACAAAAAUAAGUAAUCAAAGUGUAUGUUUAAAUUUCCUAGAAUUAAUAUACCAAUACUCAGCUUGCUGCCAUCAUUUACAAAUAGCAUUAAAUCUUGCAAACUAUGUGAGCUGUUGUGAUAAGUUUCUUUCUUUUUUUUAAGAUGCAGGAUGACCCUAAAGGACUGUGAGUUGCUCACCAUUGUACCAGUUAAUUUAAAAUGCUAUCAUGGCAUAUAACAAGCAUCUUCAAUAGCAACCUGACUGACUGGAACACUUCUAUUAUUCCUACUGUUGUUCUUUGACUUUUUUUCGUUUAAUAAUUUGAUGUAAUUAGAUUAGCACUCCUUCACCUCACACACAUUAGUUUAUCAUAGACCAAUUAUUGUAGAUCACUUACACCAGGCUUCUGGAUAUCUCCUAUUUCAUCAUGGUCACAUGUAUGUAAACUAUAACAUGUGGUUGUUGUCUAUUUAGAGGUCAUUCAAUUUCUAAGAAGAGGGGGCAUCCAGAAGGUUAGACGUUUAAGUCAUAAACCUUCAUAGAGGCUUUGUUUUCAAUGUGCUGUAAUUAUUUAUUCUGUAGAAAAGUUCAGUAUUGGACAAAAAAAAUCAAAUUAGUGGAUUACUGAAAGAUAUUGAUCAUUAUUUGAUGGGUUUCAUAACUAAGUUGUCACUGUGUUACUUGAAGAUCAGGUUAUGAUGAUACUGUGACAGCUUGUGUGACUCUGAAGACAAGGCUUUAAUGAUACUGUUACAGUUUGUGUUACUCUGAAGAUGAAUUAUAAUAAUACUGUAAUAUUCUUUUACUCUGAAGACAAGGUUAUGAUGAUACUCUAACAGUUUUUAUUACUUUGAAGACAAGGUUAUGAUGAUACUCUAACGGUUUUUAUUACUUUGAAGACAAGGUUAUGAUGAUACUCUAACAGUUUUUAUUACUUUGAAGAUAAAGGUUAUGAUGAUAGUGUGACAGCUUGUGUUACUCUGAAAACAAGGUUUGAUGAUCCAGUGAAAGCUUGGGUGUUUCAGUAAGCGCAGCAAGGUUAUUAUGGUAAUACACUAUACUCCCGUGUUUUACCAUUUGUGUUAAUAAGGUUUUAAUGGUGCAAUGUAAAUAUGUUUUAUUCGUAUCUGCAAGCCAGUUUAUACUGAAAGAAGUAGUGUAACUUGUGUUAAUUUUUGUGCGCAUUACGUUGUGAUGAUGAUGAUGAUGUGAUUUAAAUUGAAAGUGUAUUUUCCUGUUAUUUUGUGGUAUGAAAAGAACGACAUCAGGUAAUAUUUUUGUUACUACUAUUUUAUUUCACGUAAUCAAAACGUUUUGAAUCUCGGUAUUAUUCUCUUGAAAAACCUUAAAAUUCACAAACCACUCUUUAUAUUUAAAAUUUUCACUGACCAACUACUAACCAGCUUUUUGGUUUUUAUUAUACUAUUCUUGCUUACUGUUAUAAGGUAAUUUAUUAUUCAGUUACUCGAGGCAAAUUGCUAUGUCCUAAUCGAACUUGCAACAGUGGAUGUGAUGUGCAUAGCAAACACACUUUUACAUUCAAAGGAAUUAUUUAAGUAUACAGCUACAUUGUGUUUAAGCGCAUCAAAUUUACGUUUUGAACUUUAUCAUUUAAAGUUAUGAUCUUGAACUUUUUAUGACGUGUAGUAGUGCUCUUAUGUAAUUUAGCAAUGUCGUUAUUUUUAACUUUUUACUUCUGAGUGGAGUAAUGUUUUCGCCGGUGUCCGUACAUAAAUAUUGAUAGAUUUCUCUGUAGUAACUCGUGAAGGCUAUUUACUAAUUUGUUUUCUUCAUCAUAAGUUAAAGGACUGUUACUGUUGAAUGGACAAAUUGCUGGGAAUCCCGCCAUUAAGAAUGUUCACGCAUUAUUACGUUAUUUUUAUGUACAUAUGUGUACUUGUGAGUAUCUGCAUACAAAGUGUGAAAAUGAAUUAUGUACUUUAUCGGAAAUAAUUGUAAACCAUGAAAAUGACCAAUUAGAAAUAAUAUAAAAGUAAUGUAACACCCAGCUAUGUAUUUCGCUUAGUGUAUAUAUAUAAAUAAAUAUGAUUAUACAUGAAACAUUUAAACAUUUAUGUUAGUAAUUCUUUUAAUUGCAGUAACGCUCUAGACGUGAUGAGUUAACCCUAAAUAAAAGUGGAGUAGGAAGUAAGGAUAUUUAUUAUAACCUUGACUCUUAGUAUUUUAUUUAAUGAAUGUUAGCUUUAAGGAUUCAUCCGAAAACAAAAUAUAUUUUGAGGUCUCAUCGAUCUGUAAAGCAACUGUAUCCUAUUGAUCAACCAGCAGUCUGUUUCUCUUAACGCGCACACGAUAGUUUUGUGGGUGGUCAGAAUUGUAUUAUUGUGCUUGGUAAAAUAUGGGCUAUAAUUCCAACGACUGAACAUAAAACACGUGGUGUUAAUGACAUUAUUUGUAGAUUAAUGGAUACAGGAUGAGGGCAUGACUUCCAGUUUCUGUCUCUUUUUUUUUCUGUUGUUGUUAAUAUGCUACGUAUUAGCGAAAGGUGGUAAUUUUCGUGCAGUAUCACGUUUGAUAUAAAAACACCUGAAGUAUUUUAUUUAUUUCUUGUGAAGUAAUCCUGCAUCUCACCAUAUCUUUAUUUAUUAUUUCACGCCUUAGAGGAGUUUAUCACAAGCUUUCCUCCCAUAUAGGCAUGUCCUACAAACUUUCAAUCUUAAUUUAUCAUGUAAGAUGUUUUUAGCAGUUUCGUAAAAGUAAUGUAACACCCAGCUAUGUAUUUCGCUUAGUGUAUAUAUAUAUAUAUAUAUAUAUAUAUAUAUGAAUAAAUAUGAUUAUACAUGAAACAUUUAUGUUAGUAAUUCUUUUAAUUGCGGUAACGCUCUAGAUGUGAUGAGUUAACCCUAAAUAAAAGUGGAGUAGGAAGUAAGGUUAUUCUGGUAGGGCCAUGUUCUACAUACUUUUAGCCUUGGUUUAUCUUUUAAAAUGUUUUUAGCAGUUUAGUCAUUUGUGUAUUUAACGUAAUGGCUUUACAAACUUACAGAUUUAAGUUUCAGUCCUUCCCCCCUUUUGUCAAUGGGGGGAAUUACUUCAGUCUUAUAAUUUCCGUUUUUGUUUUCAGUGCUUUGAUAAUUGAAGGAAAGAAAAAUGGACAAUCACAAAAAAGUUUAAUAAAUUCUAUAGGAUACGUAGGUUAAGAGAAUAGCCGUGGGUUAAAUUAAACAGGUAUAAGUAGGAGGAAAGUGUCGUGUGUUAGAAGUUGUCUUGCACAUUGUCAGGUGUCGUAGAGUUGAAAACUCUUCAUAAACGUUAUUUAUUCAACAAAAUAUCGAAUUAUAAUUUCCUUUUUUUUGAUAAUGUAUGUCAACGAUUUAUCUAAGUAGUUCAAACGGGUAGAUGAUUUGUGUUCUUCAUUUACAAUAACCAUUUCCAAAGUUUAUUUAAAAUACGUAAGAAUGGAGAAUUGUUCAGGUGUUAUUAUCAGGGGCCCAGUAGAUAUACGUACCUAAUGUUUAUUUAUUAUUAUUAUUAAUUAAUUAUGGUGUUACGGUCAGAUAUAACUGUUAUUAUAGUUAUAAUAGAGCACGUCUUGAUAGAUGUCGUAUGGUUUUUUCUUAUGGUCACUUUAUACUGUUGUUUCCACUACCGUUACACACACACCACAAAAUAACAAAUGUACAUACUGAUGUAUAUGUGUUAUUAUCACACUGUCGGUAAACUGAAUCUGGUAUAGUGGAAAUGGUUUUAUCAUAUACUGUAGAAGGUCACGAUUACAAUAAAUAUAACGGGAAAAUUGAAAUUGGGGCUUGUACUAGAAGACAUUAUACUGCUCUGUCCAUGAUAGUAAUUAGAUACUGGUACGAAUCAAGUGUUUGAUGAUGAACACUAUCUUUAAUGGAAACUUUAUCAUCGCUUAUAUGGAUACACUUCCAGCACAUCGUCAGCGGUUGUUAAACUUAAACCUAAUGGUCUAGGUGUGGCUUACAGUGAUUUUGUGUCGAAUUUUAGUGGUUUAUUCGAUAGCAUGUAGCGUGGUAAUCAGGAGGCUUCUGUUGUGUGAUGUGUUGUUGUUUUUUGUUUGUUUUUUCUGAAGAAAAAUAUAUGUAUAUUAUCUGACAUUGAUAUUCAUUAAGUGUAGCUGUAAUAAUUAUCCAGUGUUCAGUAAAUGGUGUCAUAAACCACAGGUUUAAAGUAGAAAACUUGUGUGUAUUAGAUAUGGCAGUGCUUAUACUGGCAUAAUUAUUUAGGAAGUUUCAUAUAGUUUGAAUAAAGAUAAAUAACUUCAAGAAUGCAGGUGUGUAAUAUUUAUGAUAAUGAAGUAUAUGAAUUAUAUGGUUUGGAGUAUUCAUUACUUGUCGAUACCACUAUUGUGUUUACAAGCUUAAUGCAUGCUAAAAACUAGGUUUUACACAGUACGUAAUAGGUUUAAGUAAAUAGUUUAAUUUGAAAAUUAUACGCUCUUUGUUGGAGUAUAAAAUAUUUGGCGAGAAAAGCAGAAGGUGUUAUGUAAGAUGUAAAGAAUAUUAAAACAAUAUUGAAAUAUUCUCGAAAGCCUCAGGCCCCUUUUUCUUUUUUCCUUGUCUGAGAAUACGUGAAAUGUCUGGUAUCUGAGUACAAACGAUUCUUAUAAACUUUACGUUGUACCUACGUGUCAACCACUAUACUACAUGAAACUUUACACAACAACUUAAAACAAGAGAGAGAGAGGAAGAAUUUU
This 4701-nucleotide long non-coding RNA is filed under the name Limulus polyphemus (Atlantic horseshoe crab). RNAcentral describes it as "uncharacterized LOC111085675". Lineage: Eukaryota; Metazoa; Arthropoda; Merostomata; Xiphosura; Limulidae. The record is from RNAcentral.